CUUUAAAUAAAAAGGAUAAACAUGAUGGAUUUCCAUUAUCUCAAGCAAACUUUCAAUAUUGUGUGUUGCUUCUCUUAAAUGAGAUAAAAACCCAAGGAUGCAAAAAACUUAAUAUAAAAUAGUGUGAAGAAGAAGUAGUAACUGAAAUGAACAGCAUAAUAGAAUUUGAUAAGUUUGACUCAGCACUUGACAAUGUUUCAUCUAGUAACUCUGUAGUAUCUCUGCAGUUAAACAAAGAGUUCAAAAUAUUGGUGGUAAGAACUGUCAAAAACUUGUGAUAGCUAUGAUGAAGAGUUUUAUGACAAAUUCACUCAUGGCCAAAUCUAAUAUGGCAGCUGGAAAAGGCAAAGGAUCUUUUUAGUCUAACCAAGCUAUACAACUUAAUAAAAGUUUGUGCAUCGACUUCUCACGAAUCAUACACAGAGUCGAUUGUCGAUGCAAUAAUUACUGAUUCGUGAAAGCGGGCAACUUUUGCUAGUCUUAAAGUGCCUUAAAUCCAACAGAUAUCAUCGUUAUAAUAUUACUUUGUUUGUAAAUUGUUUUAAAAAAUAAAUUUAAAAAUAACUUUUAAA
This is a non-coding RNA of Hydra vulgaris (swiftwater hydra), 572 nucleotides long. Lineage: Eukaryota; Metazoa; Cnidaria; Hydrozoa; Anthoathecata; Hydridae. The record is from RefSeq and is a predicted model, not a curated record.